Molecule: ribosomal RNA, 274 nt
Filed under: uncultured bacterium
Lineage: Bacteria
Description: partial 16S ribosomal RNA
Rfam family: Bacterial small subunit ribosomal RNA
Source: RNAcentral
AUACGGAGGGUGCAAGCGUUAAUCGGAAUUACUGGGCGUAAAGCGCUCGUAGGCGGCUUGUAAAGUCGGAUGUGAAAGCCCCGGGCUCAACCUGGGAACUGCAUUCGAUACUGGCAGGCUAGAGUAUAGUAGAGGCAAGUGGAAUUCCGGGUGUAGCGGUGAAAUGCGUAGAUAUCCGGAGGAACAUCAGUGGCGAAGGCGACUUGCUGGACUAAUACUGACGCUAAGGAGCGAAAGCGUGGGGAGCAAACGGGAUUAGAAACCCCGGUAGUCC